Molecule: long non-coding RNA, 271 nt
Filed under: Elaeis guineensis (African oil palm)
Lineage: Eukaryota; Viridiplantae; Streptophyta; Magnoliopsida; Arecales; Arecaceae
Description: long non-coding RNA (EGUI_LNC079750)
Source: RNAcentral
UGUACAUAGCUCCUGAACUGGAGUGGUCAAUCCCAUCUUGACACACACACCGACAAGUCAAGUACUUGACUACACCCAGCAGCCUUCCAUCACUGAAUUAGAAAUUCAGGUAGUCCAGUACCUAAGUGUAGUGAGUUGCUUGCAAGUCACCGUGGCGGUCUCAGAUCAGAGGGAUAGUUAUACUCAUAUCCCAUCGGAGUAAAUCUUGACAGCAGAAAUAGCUCCGGAGUCGGUCACGUUCAGUGCAGAUGUACCCUUACAUCUCACCUGU